Molecule: ribosomal RNA, 818 nt
Filed under: uncultured Actinomycetes bacterium
Lineage: Bacteria; Bacillati; Actinomycetota; Actinomycetes
Description: bacterial SSU rRNA
Rfam family: Bacterial small subunit ribosomal RNA
Source: RNAcentral
ACUCCUACGGGAGGCAGCAGUGGGGAAUAUUGCACAAUGGGCGAAAGCCUGAUGCAGCAACGCCGCGUGAGGGACGACGGCCUUCGGGUUGUAAACCUCUUUUAGUAGGGAAGAAGCGAAAGUGACGGUACCUGCAGAAAAAGCACCGGCUAACUACGUGCCAGCAGCCGCGGUAAUACGUAGGGUGCAAGCGUUGUCCGGAAUUAUUGGGCGUAAAGAGCUCGUAGGCGGUUUGUCGCGUCUGCUGUGAAUCCCGAGGCUCAACCUCGGGUCUGCAGUGGGUACGGGCAGACUAGAGUGCGGUAGGGGAGAUUGGAAUUCCUGGUGUAGCGGUGGAAUGCGCAGAUAUCAGGAGGAACACCGAUGGCGAAGGCAGAUCUCUGGGCCGUAACUGACGCUGAGGAGCGAAAGCAUGGGGAGCGAACAGGAUUAGAUACCCUGGUAGUCCAUGCCGUAAACGUUGGGAACUAGAUGUAGGGACCAUUCCACGGUUUCUGUGUCGCAGCUAACGCAUUAAGUUCCCCGCCUGGGGAGUACGGCCGCAAGGCUAAAACUCAAAGGAAUUGACGGGGGCCCGCACAAGCGGCGGAGCAUGCGGAUUAAUUCGAUGCAACGCGAAGAACCUUACCAAGGCUUGACAUAUACCGGAAACGUCCAGAGAUGGUCGCCCCGCAAGGUCGGUAUACAGGUGGUGCAUGGUUGUCGUCAGCUCGUGUCGUGAGAUGUUGGGUUAAGUCCCGCAACGAGCGCAACCCUCGUUCUAUGUUGCCAGCACGUUAUGGUGGGAACUCAUAGGAGACUGCCGGGGUCAACUCGGA